Molecule: ribosomal RNA, 500 nt
Filed under: uncultured bacterium
Lineage: Bacteria
Description: partial 16S ribosomal RNA
Rfam family: Bacterial small subunit ribosomal RNA
Source: RNAcentral
AUUGAACGCUGGCGGCAGGCCUAACACAUGCAAGUCGAGCGGAUGACGGGAGCUUGCUCCUUGUUUCAGCGGCGGACGGGUGAGUAAUGCCUAGGAAUCUGCCUGGUAGUGGGGGACAACGUUUCGAAAGGAACGCUAAUACCGCAUACGUCCUACGAGAGAAAGCAGGGGACCUUCGGGCCUUGCGCUCUCAGAUGAGCCUAGGUCGGAUUAGCUAGUUGGUGGGGUAAUGGCUCACCAAGGCGACGAUCCGUAACUGGUCUGAGAGGAUGAUCAGUCAAACUGGAACUGAGACACGGUCCAGACUCCUACGGGAGGCAGCAGUGGGGAAUAUUGGACAAUGGGCGAAAGCCUGAUCCAGCCAUGCCGCGUGUGUGAAGAAGGUCUUCGGAUUGUAAAGCACUUUAAGUUGGGAGGAAGGGCAGUAAGCUAAUACCUUGCUGUUUUGACGUUACCGACAGAAUAAGCACCGGCUAACUCUGUGCCAGCAGCCGCCGUAA